GGGAAGGCCCGAAAGUGGCGGGUGGUGCGACGAUUCGCGAUUACGACUCCGUAAGAGAUCGCCUUUCUCUCUCUCAAUCCUUGUUUCGAGAGACGCAAGGUGGGAUUAGGGUCAGGAAGGAUUCGAAGUAAGGACAAGGUGGAUGGGGACAUGGCGGAAGGCCUACGGAGCCCUCAAGGAUUCCACCAAGGUCGGGCUCGCCAAGGUCAACAGCGAAUUCAAGGAUUUGGACAUUGCAAUUGUGAAGGCAACAAACCAUGAAGAAUGCCCACCGAAGGAGCGGCACGUGCGGACAAUAUUUGCUGCUACGUCUGUGGUGAGGCCACGAGCAGAUGUAGCUUACUGCAUAUAUGCACUUGGCAGAAGAUUGUCCAAGACACAUAAUUGGAUGGUUGCCUUGAAAACCCUGAUAGUUAUUCACAGGACAUUGAGAGAGGGCGAUCCCACAUUCCGAGAGGAGCUAUUGAUUUAUUCUCGUCGAGGAAAUGUUCUACAUAUAUCCAACUUUAAGGAUGAUUCUGGUCCUCUAGCUUGGGAUUGUUCCGCAUGGGUACGAACAUAUGCACUCUACUUAGAGGAGCGGCUUUCUUGUUUUAGGAUCUUAAAAUAUGAUAUUGAAGCAGAACGUUUGAUGAAAUCUCCACAGGAGUCUGCCAAAGGACAUAGUCGAACCAGAACACUAUGUUGUCCUGAUCUGUUAGAACAGUUGCUCGCUUUGCAACAGCUACUGUUCCGCCUUAUAGGUUGCCGGCCUGAAGGAGCAGCAUGUGGAAACUUCCUUAUUCAAUAUGCAUUAGCCCUGGUUUUGAAAGAGAGCUUUAAAAUAUAUUGUGCAAUCAAUGAUGGGAUCAUCAAUCUUGUAGAUAUGUUCUUUGAUAUGUCAAAAUAUGAUGCUGUCAAGGCGCUUGAUAUCUACAAGAGAGCUGGACAGCAGGCAGAAUCUCUUUCUGAGUUCUAUGAAUUUGGCAAAUGUUUGGAGCUUGCAAGGACCUUUCAGUUCCCAACUCUGAGACAGCCACCUCCUUCGUUCCUUGCAACAAUGGAAGAAUAUGUCAGAGAAGCACCUGGGGUUGGCUCUGUUUCAAGCAAGCGGCUGGAAUAUGAAGAUAGGAAAGUAUUAACUUACCAACAAGAAGAAGCCGCACCUGCAGAGGACGAAAAUCCAGAUGAGGAAGAUGAGAAACAGCCACCGGAAGAGGAACAGCCACCGGAAGAGGAACAACCACCAGAAGAGCAACCGCCACCGGAACCUGAACCUGAACCUAUAACUGAAGAAGAAGCUCAGCCUGCUACUUCCGGAGACUUGCUGGGCUUGGAUGAAAUAAAUCCCGUUGCUGCCGAACUUGAGCAAAGCAAUGCCUUGGCCCUUGCCAUCAUUUCUCCAGGGGAUGAUACAAAGCCUUCAUCAACUCAUGACUUGUUUGGAACUGAUUCUUCCGGAUGGGAGUUAGCACUGGUCACUACUGCGAGCAGCAACACCAGCCAGUUGGUUGAAAGCAAACUGGCUGGCGGAUUCGACAGGCUCUUGCUAGAAAGUCUCUACGAAGAUUCAGCGAGGAGCCAACAAAUUGCUGGUGCUUACAGCAGCGGCGGUCUGGACGCCAAUCCUUCCGAUUACAAUGAUCCCUUCGCCAUGUCGAACAGCAUUGCGCCGCCACCAAGCGUGCAGAUGGCUUUGAUGGCACAGCAGCAACAACAGCAGCAGCAGCAGCAGUAUUACUACUAUCAACAGCAGCCGCUACAGCAGGAGCAGUAUUAUCAGCAGCAGGAUACGAGUAUGAUGGUGCCUUAUCAACCUCAGCAAGCUCAGCAGCAGAUGGCCUCUGCCAACCCCUUCGGCGACCCAUUUGCCGGCUUUCCACAGGGUGCAACCACACAAAGCAAUCAACAUCUGCUCUAAUAAGAAUGCGUUGUAUUGUUCUUCCAGAAUGGUGGAAUGGUGGGGUGAUCAUUCUUGGACUUGAGCUCCAUUAAAUGAGACUGUAACCAAGUCUUUUUCUACUAAACUAUGGAAGCAAACAUGAGUUAGACCAAAAUGACCGGUGUGUUCUUCCAUGGCAGGAAACAAGGACAAGGUUUCAUUGCGCAGUGUUGAAACGCCUGUAUACUUGGUAUGUCAGAUUUUAUCCAAUCUUGUAUCAGAGGAGAUGAUUGACUUGAUAACAGCUUCUUGAUGAAUAUUCUUUUCUUCA
Musa acuminata subsp. malaccensis (wild Malaysian banana) is the source of this 2192-nucleotide non-coding RNA. The record is from RefSeq and is a predicted model, not a curated record. Lineage: Eukaryota; Viridiplantae; Streptophyta; Magnoliopsida; Zingiberales; Musaceae.